Long non-coding RNA from Quercus robur (English oak), 210 nucleotides. RefSeq lists it as uncharacterized. NCBI's taxonomy places the organism in Eukaryota, Viridiplantae, Streptophyta, Magnoliopsida, Fagales, Fagaceae. The transcript is spliced from 3 exons. The record is from RefSeq and is a predicted model, not a curated record.
CUAUUCAGAGAUGUGAAGGAUGAGGAGCUAUGGAGCUUCUUUUAUGGAAUGUCUCCUUGGCAGUUUAUACUAAUUGUUGCUGCAAGCUCAGUGGGAGAGGAGCUAUUUUACCGAGCUGCCCUUCAGGGAGCGUUGGCUGAUAUAUUUCUAAGGGGCACUGAUCUAGUAACUGAUGCUCGAGGAAUGGCAUCUCUGGUAUGUGCCCUAGUC